This 169-nucleotide ribosomal RNA is filed under the name Serratia marcescens. Its description in RNAcentral is "partial 16S ribosomal RNA". It matches the Rfam family "Bacterial small subunit ribosomal RNA", at positions 369 to 528 of the family's 1533-position model. The record is from RNAcentral. Lineage: Bacteria; Pseudomonadati; Pseudomonadota; Gammaproteobacteria; Enterobacterales; Yersiniaceae.
CAAGGGCGCAGCCUGAAUGCAGCCAUGCCGCGGUGGUGUGAAGAAGGCCUUCGGGUUUGUAAAGCACUUUCAGCGAGGAGGAAGGUGGUGAACUUAAUACGUUCAUCAAUUGACGUUACUCGCAGAAGAAGCACCGGCUAACUCCGUGCCAGCAGCCGCGGUAAUACGA